This 717-nucleotide ribosomal RNA is filed under the name Triticum aestivum (bread wheat). RNAcentral's name for it is "partial small subunit ribosomal RNA". Lineage: Eukaryota; Viridiplantae; Streptophyta; Magnoliopsida; Poales; Poaceae. The record is from RNAcentral.
AUGCCACCUUCCGUGCAUGACAUGGAAGGCCUGCCGUUCAUGAAGCAUGGUUGUGUCUUCAGUGCACUCCGCCAGAUGAACGACAUGCUGGGACACACUAUCCCUGAUUUAUGCCGCUUCAGCUUGGACGAGUCUCCAUUGUGUGGAACCGGACUAGAAAGCUGCAACAAUGAUUCCCGUUGUCCACCGCUAUGGAUCGUGCCAUCCAUGAAGAACACCUGGGACUGGAACCUGGAGGAGGACAUUUGUUGCACGGGCUCCAACACGCUCUUUGAGAAAAAAAGAGUUGAUAUGAGAAUAGUAGUAAAUUACCGAUGCAAGUCGAAGAAGGAUUGGCCGGUGCUGCCGGCUGGCGUCAAGUUUGAUCCCACGGAUCAGGAGCUGAUCGAGCACCUUAAGGCCAAAGUGAGUGCUGACAGCGUGAGAUUUCAGUCUCUCAUUGAUUUGUUCAUACCAACCAUCGACAGCGAGCACGGCAUAUGCUACACCCAACCUGAGAAACUUCCAGGUAUCACACUGAGUGGCCUAAGGAAGCAUUUCUUCCAGUGCAAUUCCAGGGCAUUCAAAAGGGGCACGUGGACGCGUCGCAAGAUACAACCGGAGUGUGGCAUGCACGCAAUGUGGCACAAGACCGGCAAUACCUUGCCGAUGAUGGUCAACGGCCGGCAGACGGGCAGCAAAAAAGGUUCUGGUGCUGCACACCAACAAGAACUUUGA